Long non-coding RNA from Zingiber officinale, 1428 nucleotides. RefSeq lists it as uncharacterized. The transcript is spliced from 3 exons. NCBI's taxonomy places the organism in Eukaryota, Viridiplantae, Streptophyta, Magnoliopsida, Zingiberales, Zingiberaceae. The record is from RefSeq and is a predicted model, not a curated record.
ACCUCAACUCUUUGGAUAAGGUAUUUGUGAAUGACCAAUUCCUCAACUGGGAUCCCGAGCAUCGAAUCAAAGUUCAAAUUGUCUCUGCAAGGGCCUAUCAUUCCCUAUUCAUGCACAACAUGUAAGUGAGAAAUACUACUAAUAAGAAUGCUAAAGAUGCUCUUCAAUUCCAUAGUUCGACAGUUAUCCAGAUAAGUCAUCUUUGUGUUGGUUCUGUUCAUCUUUAGUAGUGAAUCAUAGUUGUGUUAGUAGCAGGCUGGAUCAUACAUAUGCAUAUAUUAGUGUUAGUGAGCUAACUAGCUCCUCUUUCUCUCCUUAAUGUCAAGGGAAAACAUGUAAACUAGAAGAAGAAAAACUCUCUUUUGCAUGAAAUAAUUGGAAGGAUCGCAGGUGCAUCCGUCCUACGCCUGAAGAACUGGAGGAAUUCAGUACUCCGGACUUCACAAUUUACAAUGCUAACCAGUUUCCAUGUAAUCGAUACACACACUACAUGACUUCAAGGCGGCAGUUCAGUCAGGAGGCAUGUCGUCUACUCAUUCCUCUGUCAGAAGCGUUUCUUUUUUUUUAGGCCAUCGCUUCUCUAUAUUCCCCUUAUUUUGCAAUUUGUGAGGUUGAACUAUGGAAUUUUAAUCAAUUAUGCUUGGAUUUUUCUAGGUCGUUACUGUUGUGGCUACAUUGCUUGGGCUGGAGAGGGGAUUCUCUGACUCCAUCUUUGGCAUGUUUGUUGUAUUUGCUACUCUAAUUAUUGUACGAUGCUCAGGUAAACUAGUUUUCUUUUUUGGUUUAUGUUCUAUAGUCCUUGUGUAUGCCAUGAUGGUAAUUUGCAAUUAGACUCUAUUCAUGUGAGUUGACUUUGUAUGAAUCUGGAAAAUGUUUUUUCUUGGGAACUGUGUUAGCCAUAUUUAUCAUCGAGGAAUAUAGUUGAAUACUGUUGCCUGAGAGUUAGAAUUGGUUUGAGUGAAGCAACUGAUAAUCCUACAAACUUCUAAUGGUUUAGUCUGUCAUUGCCAUGGGCUAGAACAAUUUAAUUAGUUUGUUUGCCAUAUCCAUCUCCUGCGCUUCUAGAAGAAAGCUUGUAUGAUGAACACAAUUUAUAGCAGAGCUUGUGAAAACAAUUAGUUUAAAGUCGUUUCUUUCUCAACCGACUUGUAGACAAAGAAAAUUGGUCUUGUUUGGUUAGUGAAAGUUGUCAGAUCGUUGUCGGAAGAACUGGCAUGAACACUCUUACUAACCAGACUGGCGAAGUUACAAGGUGAUCUUAUACUUUUAUUCCAUCUUGUUGUUGAUGAUAAAUGUUAAAGUGCUCUAAUUUUGAGAAAAAUUUAUGCUUGACUUGGACUUCUUUAUUUCUUCUUCUAACUCUUGACAUUUUGUAUGGCCAAUAAAUCAUUUGCAAGGGAUGUUCAAUCGAACUAUCAGAUUAUUAGA